RNAcentral lists this ribosomal RNA (494 nucleotides) under uncultured bacterium. RNAcentral describes it as "partial 16S ribosomal RNA". It matches the Rfam family "Bacterial small subunit ribosomal RNA", at positions 31 to 507 of the family's 1533-position model. The record is from RNAcentral.
GAACGCUGGCGGCGUGCCUAAUACAUGCAAGUCGAGCGAACGGACGAGAAGCUUGCUUCUCUGAUGUUAGCGGCGGACGGGUGAGUAACACGUGGAUAACCUACCUAUAAGACUAGGAUAACUUCGGGAAACCGGAGCUAAUACCGGAUGAUAUUUUGAACCGCAUGGUUCAAAAGUGAAAGACGGUCUUGCUGUCACUUAUAGAUGGAUCCGCGCUGCAUUAGCUAGUUGGUAAGGUAACGGCUUACCAAGGCAACGAUGCAUAGCCGACCUGAGAGGGUGAUCGGCCACACUGGAACUGAGACACGGUCCAGACUCCUACGGGAGGCAGCAGUAGGGAAUCUUCCGCAAUGGGCGAAAGCCUGACGGAGCAACGCCGCGUGAGUGAUGAAGGUCUUCGGAUCGUAAAACUCUGUUAUUAGGGAAGAACAUAUGUGUAAGUAACUGUGCACAUCUUGACGGUACCUAAUCAGAAAGCCACGGCUAACUACGUG